UGGAAGCGUCUGGAAAGGCGCGCGAUACAGGGUGACAGCCCCGUACACAAAAGCGCAUGUGCUGUGAGCUCGAUGAGUAGGGCGGGACACGUGGUAUCCUGUCUGAAUAUGGGGGGACCAUCCUCCAAGGCUAAAUACUCCUGACUGACCGAUAGUGAACCAGUACCGUGAGGGAAAGGCGAAAAGAACCCCGGCGAGGGGAGUGAAAAAGAACCUGAAACCGUGUACGUACAAGCAGUGGGAGCACCCUUCGGGGUGUGACUGCGUACCUUUUGUAUAAUGGGUCAGCGACUUAUAUUCUGUAGCAAGGUUAACCGUAUAGGGGAGCCGGAGGGAAACCGAGUCUUAAUUGGGCGUUAAGUUGCAGGGUAUAGACCCGAAACCCGGUGAUCUAGCCAUGGGCAGGUUGAAGGUUGGGUAACACUAACUGGAGGACCGAACCGACUAAUGUUGAAAAAUUAGCGGAUGACCUGUGGCUGGGGGUGAAAGGCCAAUCAAACCGGGAGAUAGCUGGUUCUCCCCGAAAGCUAUUUAGGUAGCGCCUCGUGAAUUCAUCUCCGGGGGUAGAGCACUGUUUCGGCUAGGGGGCCAUCCCGGCUUACCAACCCGAUGCAAACUGCGAAUACCGGAGAAUGUUAUCACGGGAGACACACGGCGGGUGCUAACGUCCGUCGUGAAGAGGGAAACAACCCAGACCGCCAGCUAAGGUCCCAAAGUCAUGGUUAAGUGGGAAACGAUGUGGGAAGGCCCAGACAGCCAGGAUGUUGGCUUAGAAGCAGCCAUCAUUUAAAGAAAGCGUAAUAGCUCACUGGUCGAGUCGGCCUGCGCGGAAGAUGUAACGGGGCUAAACCAUGCACCGAAGCUGCGGCAGCGAACGUAUCACCCAAGACAACUUUACGGAGUUGACGAUUGACGGAGCGAAGCGACGUCAAAGCGUUCAUUAAAGUCGAGUUGGCUUAGGGAUACGUUCGUUGGGUAGGGGAGCGUUCUGUAAGCCUGUGAAGGUGUGUCGUGAGGCAUGCUGGAGGUAUCAGAAGUGCGAAUGCUGACAUAAGUAACGAUAAAGCGGGUGAAAAGCCCGCUCGCCGGAAGACCAAGGGUUCCUGUCCAACGUUAAUCGGGGCAGGGUGAGUCGACCCCUAAGGCGAGGCCGAAAGGCGUAGUCGAUGGGAAACGGGUUAAUAUUCCCGUACUUGGUGUUACUGCGAAGGGGGGACGGAGAAGGCUAUGUUGGCCGGGCGACGGUUGUCCCGGUUUAAGCGUGUAGGUGUGUGUUCCAGGUAAAUCCGGUUCACUUUAACAC
RNAcentral lists this ribosomal RNA (1303 nucleotides) under Salmonella enterica. RNAcentral describes it as "partial 23S ribosomal RNA". It matches the Rfam family "Bacterial large subunit ribosomal RNA", at positions 333 to 1556 of the family's 2925-position model. The record is from RNAcentral. Lineage: Bacteria; Pseudomonadati; Pseudomonadota; Gammaproteobacteria; Enterobacterales; Enterobacteriaceae.